UACGUAGGCAGCGAGCGUUGUUCGGAAUUACUGGGCGUAAAGAGUGUGUAGGCGGUGCUCUAAGUCUGUCGUGAAAUCUCCCGGCUUAACCGGGAGGCUGCGGCGGAAACUGGUGUGCUAGAGGGUGGGAGAGGUAAGCGGAAUUCCUGGUGUAGCGGUGAAAUGCGUAGAUAUCAGGAGGAACACCUGCGGUGUAGACAGCUUACUGGACCACUUCUGACGCUGAGACGCGAAGGCGUGGGUAGCAAACAGG
This 253-nucleotide ribosomal RNA is filed under the name uncultured bacterium. RNAcentral's name for it is "partial 16S ribosomal RNA". It matches the Rfam family "Bacterial small subunit ribosomal RNA", at positions 524 to 776 of the family's 1533-position model. The record is from RNAcentral.